AGUGCAUGUGGUGGAUGCCUUGGCGACAACAGGCGAAGAAGGACGUGUAAGCCUGCGAAAAGCUCGGGGGAGCUGGCAAAAGAGCAUUGAUCCCGAGAUAUCCGAAUGGGGAAACCCGGCCCUUUGGGUCAUCCCAUCCUGAAUACAUAGGGAUGAGGAAGCGAACCUGGUGAACUGAAACAUCUAAGUAGCCAGAGGAAAAGAAAUCAACCGAGAUUCCCAAAGUAGUGGCGAGCGAAAUGGGACGAGCCUGCACACCUAAACCAACUUCUUAGCAGAACGGUCUGGAAAGUCCGGCGACAGUGGGUGAUAGCCCCGUAUGCGAAAAGAAGUUGGCGGGUCUAAGUGUGCGACAAGUAGGGCGGGGCACGUGGAAUCCUGUCUGAACAUGGGGGGACCAUCCUCCAAGGCUAAAUACUCGUUGUCGACCGAUAGUGAACCAGUACCGUGAGGGAAAGGCGAAAAGAACCCCGGGAGGGGAGUGAAAUAGAUCCUGAAACCGCAUGCAUACAAACAGUGGGAGCGGACUUGUUCCGUGACUGCGUACCUUUUGUAUAAUGGGUCAGCGACUUACGUUCCGUUGCGAGCUUAACCGAAUAGGGGAGGCGAAGCGAAAGCGAGUCUGAACAAGGCGUUCAGUAGCGGGGCGUAGACCCGAAACCGGAUGAUCUAUCCAUGGCCAGGUUGAAGGUGCGGUAACACGCACUGGAGGACCGAACCCACUAGUGUUGCAAAACUAGGGGAUGAGCUGUGGAUAGGGGUGAAAGGCUAAACAAAUCCGGAGAUAGCUGGUUCUCCUCGAAAACUAUUUAGGUAGUGCCUCGUGUAUCACUCUCGGGGGUAGAGCACUGUAAUCGUUGGAGGGGUCGUCUAGACCUACUUCGCGAUAGCAAACUCCGAAUACCGAGAAGUGCGAGCACGGGAGACAGUCCUGGGGUGCUAACGUUCUGGGACGAGAGGGAAACAACCCAGACCCACAGCUAAGGUCCCAAAUAUAGGCUAAGUGGUAAACGAAGUGGGAAGGCAUAGACAGCCAGGAAGUUGGCUUAGAAGCAGCCAUCCUUCAAAGAAAGCGUAAUAGCUCACUGGUCGAGUCGUCCUGCGCGGAAGAUGUAACGGGGCUAAGCCUAUAACCGAAGCUUGGGAUGCCUACGAUGUAGGCGUGGUAGAGGAGCGUUCCGUAGGCCUGAGAAGGUGUCUCGAGAGGGAUGCUGGAGGUAUCGGAAGUGCGAAUGCUGACAUGAGUAGCGAUAAAACGGGUGAAAAGCCCGUUCGCCGGAAGCCCAAGGUUUCCUGCGCAACGUUCAUCGGCGCAGGGUGAGUCGGCCCCUAAGGCGAGGCAGAGAUGCGUAGCUGAUGGGAAACAGGUGAAUAUUCCUGUACCUUCGUUAAUUGCGAUGGGGGGACGGAGAAAGGUAGGCCAGCCAGGUGUUGGAUGUCCUGGUUUAAGCGUGUAGGCGUGCUCUUUAGGCAAAUCCGGAGAGCUUAGCUGAGGCGUGAUGACGAGGUCCUUUGGGACUGAAGUGGUUGAUCCUACGCUUCCAAGAAAAGCCUCUAAGCUUCAGAUUAACGAAGACCGUACCGCAAACCGACACAGGUGGGCAGGGUGAGAAUCCUAAGGCGCUUGAGAGAACUCUGGAGAAGGAACUCGGCAAAUUAACACCGUAACUUCGGGAGAAGGUGUGCCCUGGUAACGUGUAGACCCUUGCGGUCGAAGCGUGAAGGGGUUGCAGUGAAAAGGUGGCUGCGACUGUUUAACAAAAACACAGCACUCUGCAAACACGAAAGUGGACGUAUAGGGUGUGACGCCUGCCCGGUGCUGGAAGGUUAAGUGAUGGGGUGCAAGCUCUUGAUCGAAGCCCCAGUAAACGGCGGCCGUAACUAUAACGGUCCUAAGGUAGCGAAAUUCCUUGUCGGGUAAGUUCCGACCCGCACGAAUGGCGUAACGAUGGCCACACUGUCUCCUCCAGAGACUCAGCGAAAUUGAAGUGUUUGUGAAGAUGCAAUCUACCCGCGGCUAGACGGAAAGACCCCAUGAACCUUUACUGUAGCUUUGCAUUGGACUUUGACGGGACUUGUGUAGGAUAGGUGGGAGGCUGUGAAGCAGUCACGCUAGUGAUUGUGGAGCCAACCUUGAAAUACCACCCUGGUGUCGUUGAGGUUCUAACCUUGGUCCAUGAUCUGGAUCGGGGACCGUGCAUGGUAGGCAGUUUGACUGGGGCGGUCUCCUCCCAAAGCGUAACGGAGGAGCACGAAGGUUCGCUAGACACGGUCGGACAUCGUGUUGAUAGUGCAAGGGCAUAAGCGAGCUUAACUGCGAGACUGACAAGUCGAGCAGAUGCGAAAGCAGGUCCUAGUGAUCCGGUGGUUCUGAAUGGAAGGGCCAUCGCUCAACGGAUAAAAGGUACUCUGGGGAUAACAGGCUGAUUCCGCCCAAGAGUUCACAUCGACGGCGGAGUUUGGCACCUCGAUGUCGGCUCAUCUCAUCCUGGGGCUGUAGCCGGUCCCAAGGGUAUGGCUGUUCGCCAUUUAAAGAGGUACGUGAGCUGGGUUCAAAACGUCGUGAGACAGUUUGGUCCCUAUCUGCCGUGGGCGUUGGAGAUUUGACGGGGGCUGCUCCUAGUACGAGAGGACCGGAGUGGACGCAUCUCUGGUGUACCGGUUAUCACGCCAGUGGUAUUGCCGGGUAGCUAAAUGCGGAAGAGAUAAACGCUGAAAGCAUCUAAGCGUGAAACUCGCCUGAAGAUGAGAUCUCCCGGGGGUUUAACCCCCUUGAAGGGUCGUUGAAGACUACAACGUUGAUAGGUUGGGUGUGGAAGCGCGGUAACGCGUUAAGCUAACCAAUACUAAUUGCCCGUACGGCUUGACC
This 2869-nucleotide ribosomal RNA is filed under the name Thiobacillus sp. UBA3133. RNAcentral's name for it is "bacterial LSU rRNA". It matches the Rfam family "Bacterial large subunit ribosomal RNA". The record is from RNAcentral. Lineage: Bacteria; Pseudomonadati; Pseudomonadota; Betaproteobacteria; Nitrosomonadales; Thiobacillaceae.